RNAcentral lists this long non-coding RNA (1188 nucleotides) under Olea europaea subsp. europaea. Lineage: Eukaryota; Viridiplantae; Streptophyta; Magnoliopsida; Lamiales; Oleaceae. The record is from RNAcentral.
GACCCGAGCGUCGUGGACGAGUAAGGGGACUUGGACUUGGGGUUACACCAUCAAAAGUAGAUGGAAAUACACAAAGCAGUGAGAAAGUGAGAGAACUUGAGAGCAAAUUACAAACUCAAUCAGUAAGGAUGGAAGCACUCGAAGAAAAGGUUGAAGCACUUCUAAAGUUAUCUCAAGUUAUACUUUGCUAUUACAUAUAAUAUGAUAGCGUAACUGAAUAUAUCUUAACAUUUUAAUAAGUUUUAAAUUUUUGUAUUAUUUUGCAGAAUCAAAAUAAGAAUGUAGAGGACAUGAGUUCACGUGCUUUUACUCCACAGGUUUUUGUAUCGUAUAUUAUUUGUUCAAUAUAAAUUCAGAUUAUAUCAUACUAGUUUUAAAAAUAUUUUUAUUUUACUGCGAAUUUGUAGUCCCAACAAGGAAGUGGUAUGGAGGGAGGUAUUGUACCAGUGAAAAAUGGAAAGUGUCAACUAUUGCACUGGUACAUGUUUGAGGAGGAAAUUGUAGGCGAAGGGAAGAUUGCAUCAAUAGACCCAAGUGCAAAGGUGCAUCACGUGCCACUAGGACGAGAUUGUUGGAAGGUUUGGGUUGACGAGGUGUACAUGAGUCAUUUGCCCUUAUAGACCAACGGAUGAAUUUCGAGUUCUUAGUGACGCCAUAGGAAGUACUAUUGCUUGGCCAAAGAGCUGUGUUAGACUUAUUUGAUGAAGGUACUUUAUAAAUUUCUACAUUUUUUUCAUUUAUGUAUUUGUCAUUAAACAUGUUUCAAGAGUGGCUAUAUAUGUAUGCAUACACAAUAUAGACAGGCUAUGUAAAAAGUUGAAUGAGUAUAGUUGUGUCUCAAAAAGCUUUAAAUGACAUUGUAUUGUUUCUUAAUUGCUUGCCCGUUUUGAUUAAUUUGUUGUUAUAUUCUUUCUUUCUUGCAGUUACAUGGAGCUGAAGUGAGUUCAAUCUCUUUUGUGCUUGUGUCUUCUUGGAUCUCGUCUACGUAAAAAGAUUGGGUUGGGACUCGUUUGAAGCUUCGGUUAUAAAUCGUUUACAUAACUUUUGGACACUUUUCAUAGUUCUUUGGUUAGAUGGUGUAUAUUUUUGAAUUGGAGUAUUUAUUAUGUUUUGAUGAAGUAAUAUUGUAAUUGGAUUAUGCUUAUUGGCUUAAAUGAAGAACUUUUAAUUUUUUAUUGUCUUAAAUUA